RNAcentral lists this ribosomal RNA (407 nucleotides) under uncultured bacterium. Its description in RNAcentral is "partial 16S ribosomal RNA". It matches the Rfam family "Bacterial small subunit ribosomal RNA", at positions 29 to 526 of the family's 1533-position model. The record is from RNAcentral.
AUUGAACGCUGGCGGCAGGCCUAACACAUGCAAGUCGAGCGGAGCGGCGGACGGGUGAGUAAUGCCUAGGAAUCUGCCUGGUAGUGGGGGAUAAGGCCCGGAAACGGGCGCUAAUACCGCAUAAUAUCAGGUGAGCCUAGGGCGGAUUAGCGUGGUGGUGGGGUAAAGGCCUACCAAGGUGACGAUGCGUAACUGGUCUGAGAGGAUGAUCAGUCACACGGGAACUGAGACACGGGCGAGACGCUGACGGGAGGCAGCAGUUGGGAAUGUUGGACAAUGGGCGAAAGCCUGAGCCAGCCAUGCCGCGUGAGUGAAGAAGGUCUUCGGAUUGUAAAGCACUUUAAGUUGGGAGGCGUUACCAACAGAAUAAGCCCCGGCUAACUUCGUGCCAGCCGCCGCGGUAAUUC